CGUGGAUCACGCAAUCCUGCACGGAAACCAUUCGGUAUUAAGGCUCAUUUCCACUCAGGGAAAUUUUCCGCAGAAAGAAAAUUUUUUAAAAUGUGAUUGGCCGACACAAAUUUUCCGUCGGAAAAUAAUUUUGAAAAUAAUUCAACUUUUAACAAUGAUAUUUUCGGAAAAUUUUCUGUCCGUGGAAAUUUUUCUUGAGUGGAAAUGGGCCUUUAGGAAUGUUCGGUAUGAGAAAUUUCCGGUGUCGGUAUACCGAAAAAAUUAUACCAAUAUUAUCGGUAUACCGGAGGAAAUUAUGAGUAAUUCUAAAAGGGAAAACGAUCAUUUCGAACAUGUUUCGAACCGAACGACACGUGCUCAGUGUAAAAUCUCACUGAAGUGGAAAUUCUAAAUCAUUGCAGUACAAAGUUCUUUGAAUUGCCA
Molecule: non-coding RNA, 423 nt
Organism: Paramuricea clavata
Lineage: Eukaryota; Metazoa; Cnidaria; Anthozoa; Malacalcyonacea; Plexauridae
Source: the annotation of a GenBank genome assembly